UGAAAACAAUAGUGUGGUUAUUCAUGUUGUCAGCAUUAAAAAAGUCAGAAGAUAUUGCAAAUCUUCAAUUGCACUAAAUUUUGUGUAUAAAGAAAUAUUAUUUUUAAUGAAAAAUAAUGCUAAGGGAAUGAUCAUUUAACUUCAAGGGGGAGGGGAAGGGGAUACGGUUUUUAACCAAAAAAAAAAAUCAUAAAAAAUAUUCUGGUCAAGCAGAUGACUAAAAAAGUCUGAUUCCAGUUUCCCCCCAUACUUUAUAGUAUUAAGCAACAAUUUUUUUUAUCAUUAAAUGUGUUAAAAAAAACUUAAUAUAUAUAUUUGCAUUCUGCACGAACAAAACUCAAAAAAAAAUACACCCCCCUUUUUGGAUUUAAACAGUUGCUCCC
RNAcentral lists this long non-coding RNA (383 nucleotides) under Mytilus galloprovincialis (Mediterranean mussel). The record is from RNAcentral. Lineage: Eukaryota; Metazoa; Mollusca; Bivalvia; Mytilida; Mytilidae.